Cyprinus carpio (common carp) is the source of this 1119-nucleotide long non-coding RNA. RefSeq lists it as uncharacterized. NCBI's taxonomy places the organism in Eukaryota, Metazoa, Chordata, Actinopteri, Cypriniformes, Cyprinidae. The record is from RefSeq and is a predicted model, not a curated record.
GAAAAAACAUUACAAUCAGGAUUUGAUAUAUUAUUUAUUUUAUAUCAACUAUGCACUCCAUUUGUUUUGCCAUUUAGCCACGCAGUUUAGGUAGUUAUGGUCUUAUCUUAAUUAACAGGGUGCACCACUUCAGCUUGGAGGGUCUGACUGUGGGAUAUUCUUGUUGAUACCAACAGUCAGUCAACCAACAAAUGAUCCAUCCGGAUCUGAACAUCAUGGAGGUCACCCCAUCUGUGCCCAACAUCAUGGAGGACUCGGCAGUGAUGAAACAGAUUCUGCUGGCCUGUGACUGGGUGGAGGAAAACAGACCCCACUUUGGGAAAGUUCACUUACCAAAGAUCUUAAGGAUGACCGAGGAUGAUGCCUUGUUGGCCAUAACAAUGCGGGACCUAUUUGUUGACACUAUUUUCCAUGGAGGUGAAAUGGAUGAGGACAAAAUCUGGGCUCCCUUCCUUUUCACCUUUGAUAGAAUUGAAGACAUGGAGUUUUUCUUGCAGGAAAUGAAUGACAAAAGAAAAAUUUGUGUGUCUUGCCUGCAUGACCCUCACCUUUAACGAGCUAACAGUCUGAUGGGGUUGAUCUGGGUAAAUAUUGAUUUUUAAAUUUUGUUUUGUAUUGCCUUGUAGUUUUAGGUUUAAUUUUUUUUUUUUUAUUUUAAGUUUUGUGGGGAAAAAGUGUUCUUGAAACUUGAUAUUCAAUUUUGUGUCUUGUAUCCUAUUAUUAUGUUCCUAGAAUGAAGAUUGUUAGCCAUACAUUUAGCUAAUAAAGGUUAAUAGAAAUAAAAUAUAUACAGCAACACUUGAGGACAGUGAAGAAUGUGACUCAUAAAUUGUAAAUUAAGUAACACUCCCAGGCUACUAAUAAAUGUUCCUGCAAUGGUUGCCAGUGCUUGUCGUCUUGUUUUUUCUUUGGUGUGACACGUUGCUGGUUUCAGACCAAUAACCUGGUCAGGUAGGUAGGUUAUUUAUUACCAUUUUAUUAAGACAAUCGCGUGGACUGAGUCCAUCCAAAAUUAUAUUCCAUUAAAUUAUAUUCACAACUACCCUGUUGUGCAUAUGUUACAAUUGCAUUUUCAUUUUAAGGUGGUAGUCCUAAGUGUACAUUUAAAAGGGAUAAGUG